GGGCGCUCGAGUUGGCGGUUGGUGUUCGCGGCCGGUGCGGGUCUCGCGCUGGCCCUAGAGGCACUGCCGUGGUUGAUGCGUUGGCUGCUGGCUGGGAGACGGCCACGGCGCGAGGUGCUCUUCUUCCCCUCACAGGUGACCUGCACCGAGGCUUUACUGCAGGCCCCAGGCUUGCCCCCCGGGCCCUCCUCGGGCUGCCCGUGCAGUCUCCCACACAGCGAGAGUUCGCUGAGCCGCCUGCUGCGCGCGCUCUUGGCUGCCCGCUCCAGCUUGGAGCUCUGCCUCUUCGCCUUCUCUAGCCCGCAGCUGGGACGUGCAGUGCAACUACUGCACCAGCGCGGGGUGCGCGUGCGGGUCAUCACGGACUGCGACUACAUGGCCCUC
RNAcentral lists this long non-coding RNA (384 nucleotides) under Rattus norvegicus (Norway rat). RNAcentral describes it as "long non-coding RNA NONRATT005480". Lineage: Eukaryota; Metazoa; Chordata; Mammalia; Rodentia; Muridae. The record is from RNAcentral.